GGGGAAUCUUAGACAAUGGGGGAAACCCUGAUCUAGCCAUGCCGCGUGAGCGAUGAAGGCCUUAGGGUUGUAAAGCUCUUUCAGCUGGGAAGAUAAUGACGGUACCAGCAGAAGAAGCCCCGGCUAACUCCGUGCCAGCAGCCGCGGUAAUACGGAGGGGGCUAGCGUUGUUCGGAAUUACUGGGCGUAAAGCGCACGUAGGCGGAUCAGAAAGUCAGAGGUGAAAUCCCAGGGCUCAACCUUGGAACUGCCUUUGAAACUCCUGGUCUUGAGGUCGAGAGAGGUGAGUGGAAUUCCGAGUGUAGAGGUGAAAUUCGUAGAUAUUCGGAGGAACACCAGUGGCGAAGGCGGCUCACUGGCUCGAUACUGACGCUGAGGUGCGAAAGCGUGGGGAGCAAAC
This 400-nucleotide ribosomal RNA is filed under the name uncultured bacterium. RNAcentral's name for it is "bacterial SSU rRNA". It matches the Rfam family "Bacterial small subunit ribosomal RNA", at positions 356 to 773 of the family's 1533-position model. The record is from RNAcentral.